GGGGUUGUGGCUCAGCGGUAGAGCGCUUGCCUGGUACAUGCAAGGCCCUAGGUUCGAUUCUCAGCACCA
RNAcentral lists this transfer RNA (69 nucleotides) under Ictidomys tridecemlineatus (thirteen-lined ground squirrel). RNAcentral describes it as "Spermophilus tridecemlineatus (thirteen-lined ground squirrel) tRNA". It matches the Rfam family "tRNA". From Rfam's summary of the family: Transfer RNA (tRNA) molecules are approximately 80 nucleotides in length. Their secondary structure includes four short double-helical elements and three loops (D, anti-codon, and T loops). The record is from Rfam by way of RNAcentral. Lineage: Eukaryota; Metazoa; Chordata; Mammalia; Rodentia; Sciuridae.